CCUACGGGCGGCAGCAGUGGGGAAUAUUGGACAAUGGGGGCAACCCUGAUCCAGCCAUGCCGCGUGUGUGAAGAAGGCCCUCGGGUUGUAAAGCACUUUCAGUGAGGAAGAACGCCUGGUGGUUAAUACCCAUCAGGAAAGACAUCACUCACAGAAGAAGCACCGGCUAACUCCGUGCCAGCAGCCGCGGUAAUACGGAGGGUGCGAGCGUUAAUCGGAAUUACUGGGCGUAAAGCGCGCGUAGGUGGCUUGAUAAGCCGGUUGUGAAAGCCCCGGGCUCAACCUGGGAACGGCAUCCGGAACUGUCAAGCUAGAGUGCAGGAGAGGAAGGUAGAAUUCCCGGUGUAGCGGUGAAAUGCGUAGAGAUCGGGAGGAAUACCAGUGGCGACGGCGGCCUUCUGGACUGACACUGACACUGAGGUGCGAAAGCGUGGGUAGCAAACAGGAUUAGAUACCCCAGUAGUC
RNAcentral lists this ribosomal RNA (465 nucleotides) under Vreelandella stevensii. RNAcentral describes it as "partial 16S ribosomal RNA". It matches the Rfam family "Bacterial small subunit ribosomal RNA", at positions 338 to 795 of the family's 1533-position model. The record is from RNAcentral. Lineage: Bacteria; Pseudomonadati; Pseudomonadota; Gammaproteobacteria; Oceanospirillales; Halomonadaceae.